Molecule: ribosomal RNA, 253 nt
Filed under: uncultured bacterium
Lineage: Bacteria
Description: partial 16S ribosomal RNA
Rfam family: Bacterial small subunit ribosomal RNA
Source: RNAcentral
UACGAAGGUGGCAAGCGUUACUCGGAAUUACUAGGCGUAAAGGGCAGGUAGGUGGUUCGAUAAGUCUGUUGUGUAAGCUCCCGGCUUAACUGGGAGAGGUCAACGGAAACUAUCGGACUUGAGUAUAGGAGAGGUUACUGGAAUUCCCGGUGUAGCGGUGAAAUGCGCAGAGAUCGGGAGGAACACCAAUGGCGAAAGCAGGUAACUGGACUAUUACUGACACUCAGCUGCGAAAGCUAGGGGAGCAAACAGG